Molecule: ribosomal RNA, 353 nt
Filed under: uncultured bacterium
Lineage: Bacteria
Description: bacterial SSU rRNA
Rfam family: Bacterial small subunit ribosomal RNA
Source: RNAcentral
AACGAACGCUGGCGGCAGGCUUAAUACAUGCAAGUCGAACGGGCGCAGCAAUGCGUCAGUGGCAGACGGGUGAGUAACACGUGGGAACCUUCCUCGUUGUACGGAACAACUCAGGGAAACUUGAGCUAAUACCGUAUAAGUCCGAGAGGAGAAAGAUUUAUCGCAAUGAGACGGGCCCGCGUCGGAUUAGGUAGUUGGUGAGGUAACGGCUCACCAAGCCAACGAUCCGUAGCUGAUCUGAGAGGAUGAUCAGCCACACUGGGACUGAGACACGGCCCANACUCCUACGGGAGGCAGCAGUAGGGAAUCUUGGACAAUGGGCGCAAGCCUGAUCCAGCCAUGCCGCGUGAGUG